RNAcentral lists this ribosomal RNA (469 nucleotides) under Boophis madagascariensis (Madagascar bright-eyed frog). RNAcentral's name for it is "partial 16S ribosomal RNA". It matches the Rfam family "Bacterial large subunit ribosomal RNA", at positions 1963 to 2597 of the family's 2925-position model. The record is from RNAcentral. Lineage: Eukaryota; Metazoa; Chordata; Amphibia; Anura; Mantellidae.
AAUCACUUGUUCUUUAAAUGAGGACUCGUAUCAACGGCAUCACGAGGAUCCUACUGUCUCCCCCCUCUAAUCGGUGAAACUGAUCUCUCCGUGAAGAAGCGGAGAUGUACAUAUAAGACGAGAAGACCCCAUGGAGCUUUAAACCCAACAACACCCGCCCCCCUCCAAAUCCUAUUAUUUACCCGGUGAUUGUUUGUUUGGUUUUAGGUUGGGGUGACCGCGGAGUAUAAGAUAUCCUCCAUGAAAAAAAGCUAACUGCCCUUAUUAGAGAAAGACACUUCCAAAAAAUAAUAAAUUAAUUUUAAAUGAUCCGACAUUCGAUCAACGAACCAAGUUACCCUGGGGAUAACAGCGCAAUCCGUCCCGAGAGCCCCUAUCGACAGGCGGGUUUACNACCUCGAUGUUGGAUCAGGGUAUCCCAGUGGUGCAGCAGCUACUAAAGGUUCGUUUGUUCAACGAUUAAAACCCU